Ipomoea triloba (trilobed morning glory) is the source of this 453-nucleotide long non-coding RNA. RefSeq lists it as uncharacterized. The transcript has 2 exons. The record is from RefSeq and is a predicted model, not a curated record. Lineage: Eukaryota; Viridiplantae; Streptophyta; Magnoliopsida; Solanales; Convolvulaceae.
UUGUUCCUUUUUUUUUUUGUUAAGAUCAAUUUUAUUUUAAUUUUUAUUGACCUUCCAGUGACGCUUGGAAGGUUUUACUUGAUAAUGUGUCAAACUUAACUGUAAAAUCUUUAUGCAAUACACGAUGGGAGAGUCGAAUAAAAAGUGUCAAAGCUAUUAGAUUUCAAGCUCCUCAAAUAAGGUUGGCUUUGUUAGAAUUAUGUGAAUCUUGUGAUGAUGCCAAAUCAAAGAGUGAAGCGGAAAGCUUGUGUUACAGGUGACUUUGCCAGACAAGUUGAUGUCCGCAAUCGAGAUUCUUGAGUUUGUCAAAGUUGCAGAUUGCUACCCAACGGUUUCUAUUGCUUAUCGGAUUCUAUUGACUAUAGAGGUGUAUUAAUUGACAUUAGUAUUUUUGUACUCAUAUAUAAUAUUUAAAAUUCACUUAUAAAAAUUUAUGUUAACUUCUAAAUUUAA